UCCUACGGGAGGCAGCAGUGAGGAAUAUUGGACAAUGGAGGCAACUCUGAUCCAGCCAUGCCGCGUGUAGGAAGACUGCCCUAUGGGUUGUAAACUACUUUUAUAGAGGAAGAAACAGUUCCACGUGUGGAACUCUGACGGUACUCUACGAAUAAGGAUCGGCUAACUCCGUGCCAGCAGCCGCGGUAAUACGGAGGAUCCAAGCGUUAUCCGGAAUCAUUGGGUUUAAAGGGUCCGUAGGCGGGUCUGUAAGUCAGUGGUGAAAGUUUUCGGCUCAACCGGAAAAUUGCCAUUGAUACUGCAGGUCUUGAAUCAUUAUGAAGUGGUUAGAAUAAGUAGUGUAGCGGUGAAAUGCAUAGAUAUUACUUAGAAUACCGAUUGCGAAGGCAGAUCACUAAUAAUGUAUUGACGCUAAGGGACGAAAGCGUGGGUAGCGAACAGGAUUAGAUACCCUGGUAGUCCACGCCGUAAACGAUGGUUACUAGCUGUUCGGACUUCGGUCUGAGUGGCUAAGCGAAAGUGAUAAGUAACCCACCUGGGGAGUACGUUCGCAAGAAUGAAACUCAAAGGAAUUGACGGGGGCCCGCACAAGCGGUGGAGCAUGUGGUUUAAUUCGAUGAUACGCGAGGAACCUUACCAGGGCUUAAAUGUAGUAUGACAGGUUUAGAGAUAGACUUUUCUUCGGACAUAUUACAAGGUGCUGCAUGGUUGUCGUCAGCUCGUGCCGUGAGGUGUCAGGUUAAGUCCUAUAACGAGCGCAACCCCUGUUGUUAGUUGCCAGCGAGUAAUGUCGGGAACUCUAGCAAGACUGCCGGUGCAA
Molecule: ribosomal RNA, 820 nt
Filed under: Aquimarina latercula
Lineage: Bacteria; Pseudomonadati; Bacteroidota; Flavobacteriia; Flavobacteriales; Flavobacteriaceae
Description: bacterial SSU rRNA
Rfam family: Bacterial small subunit ribosomal RNA
Source: RNAcentral